CACGUAGGGUGCGAGCGUUGUCCGGCAUUAUUGGGCGUAAAGAGCUCGUAGGCGGUGUGUCGCGUCGGCCGUGAAAACCUGCAGCUUAACUGUGGGCGUGCGGUCGAUACGGGCAUCACUGGAGUUCGGCAGGGGAGACUGGAAUUCCUGGUGUAGCGGUGAAAUGCGCAGAUAUCAGGAAGAACACCUAUGGCGAAGGCAGCUCUCUGGGACGGUACUGACGCUGAGACGCGAAAGCGUGGGGAGCGAACAGG
This 254-nucleotide ribosomal RNA is filed under the name uncultured bacterium. RNAcentral's name for it is "partial 16S ribosomal RNA". It matches the Rfam family "Bacterial small subunit ribosomal RNA", at positions 524 to 776 of the family's 1533-position model. The record is from RNAcentral.